This 484-nucleotide ribosomal RNA is filed under the name uncultured bacterium. RNAcentral's name for it is "partial 16S ribosomal RNA". It matches the Rfam family "Bacterial small subunit ribosomal RNA", at positions 30 to 507 of the family's 1533-position model. The record is from RNAcentral.
AUUGAACGCUGGCGGCAGGCCUAACACAUGCAAGUCGAGCGGAUGAAGGGUGCUUGCUCCUGGAUUCAGCGGCGGACGGGUGAGUAAUGCCUAGGAAUCUGCCUGGUAGUGGGGGAUAACGUCCGGAAACGGGCGCUAAUACCGCAUACGUCCUGUGGGGGAAAGUGGGUGAUCUUCGGACCUCACGCUAUCAGAUGAGCCUAGGUCGGAUUAGCUAGUUGGUGGGGUAAAGGCCUACCAAGGCGAAGAUCCGUAACUGGUCUGAGAGGAUGAUCAGUCACACUGGAACUGAGACACGGUCCAGACUCCUACGGGAGGCAGCAGUGGGGAAUAUUGGACAAUGGGCGAAAGCCUGAUCCAGCCAUGCCGCGUGUGUGAAGAAGGUCUUAGGAUUGUAAAGCACUUUAAGUUGGGAGGAAGGGCAGUAAGUUAAUACCUUGCUGUUUUGACGGUACCAACAGAAGAAGCACCGGCUAACUUCGUG